Molecule: transfer RNA, 67 nt
Filed under: Brevibacillus choshinensis
Lineage: Bacteria; Bacillati; Bacillota; Bacilli; Caryophanales; Paenibacillaceae
Description: tRNA-Val
Rfam family: tRNA
About the family: Transfer RNA (tRNA) molecules are approximately 80 nucleotides in length.
Source: RNAcentral
CUUAGCUCAGCUGGGAGAGCAUCUGCCUUACAAGCAGAGGGUCGGCGGUUCGAUCCCGUCAGCNCCC